UGCGUGCCGCCUGAGACCAGGCCGGGAGUGGCGGACGGAGCGGAGACCUGGGGUAGCCGCCUUCCGUCUUCCUCCUGGUCGCCCAGCUGGCGGGCCCUCUCCCCUCCCUGAGGGCGGCACAUGGGAGAGAGGCGCAGACCUCAUUACCGUGCUUGCCUUUCGCAUGUCUGGUCAUUCUUCGGCCAUGAACGCCCUUUGAAUCAACAUUUCAGACUGAAACCUGACACUAGACAGGACCGAAUGCUAGCUGUGUGGCCUCACACGGCUCAUGUCACACGUGGUGUCUCCCCCCACCACAGCCUGACGACAGUGGUGGUGUUGCACUGAACUCUUCAGGGCUUACUCGGAUGAAGCGAGCCUUGAGCAAGAAUCACCUUUUCAUUACAACACAGGAGCACCUGUCCUACCCCAGGGCCACGGAGGAGAGACAGCUUUCUCUGCACCUCCACGUUCCCUGGGGCAGCUCAAGCUGUGGCUGGCAGGACGAGCAAAGCCCACAGGCUCCACAUGUCCUGAGCGGGGAAGGCUGGCCAAAGGGGAGAUGUCCU
This is a non-coding RNA of Microcebus murinus (gray mouse lemur), 548 nucleotides long. The record is from RefSeq and is a predicted model, not a curated record. NCBI's taxonomy places the organism in Eukaryota, Metazoa, Chordata, Mammalia, Primates, Cheirogaleidae.